AGUGAACGCUGGCGGUAGGCCUAACAUAUGCAAGUCGAACGGCAGCACAGUAAGAGCUUGCUCUUACGGGUGGUGAGUGGCGGACGGGUGAGGAAUACAUCGGAAUCUACUUUUUCGUGGGGGAUAACGUAGGGAAACUUACGCUAAUACCGCAUACGACCUACGGGUGAAAGCAGGGGAUCUUCGGACCUUGCGCGAUUGAAUGAGCCGAUGUCGGAUUAGCUAGUUGGCGGGGUAAAGGCCCACCAAGGCGACGAUCCGUAGCUGGUCUGAGAGGAUGAUCAGCCACACUGGAACUGAGACACGGUCCAGACUCCUACGGGAGGCAGCAGUGGGGAAUAUUGGACAAUGGGCGCAAGCCUGAUCCAGCCAUACCGCGUGGGUGAAGAAGGCCUUCGGGUUGUAAAGCCCUUUUGUUGGGAAAGAAAAGCAGCAGGUUAAUACCCCGCUGUUCUGACGGUACCCAAAGAAUAAGCACCGGCUAACUUCGUG
Molecule: ribosomal RNA, 492 nt
Filed under: uncultured bacterium
Lineage: Bacteria
Description: partial 16S ribosomal RNA
Rfam family: Bacterial small subunit ribosomal RNA
Source: RNAcentral